Strigops habroptila (Kakapo) is the source of this 1868-nucleotide long non-coding RNA. The record is from Ensembl. NCBI's taxonomy places the organism in Eukaryota, Metazoa, Chordata, Aves, Psittaciformes, Psittacidae.
GUUCCGGUAAAAGAAUGUAUCACCACCUUAACUUUAUGGAUGAAGGUUCCGUUUUUGGGGGGUUUCUCCAAGUUAUUACUAGGGAAACGAUAGUUGUUUUGGAUUUUUCCUUUUUUCUUUUUGUUUUGUUAGGGUUUUUUUGUUUAAUCCCUACAGGUCACCAUACAUGUUCUUGUUCCCCCUUCAAAAAUCCCAUGAUCUGGAUUCCCUUGCACCAGCAUGACCAUGUCUUCCCAUCUGGGACCAGCUGAUAAGGGAUUUUCAAAGCUGAAGAGGCAGUAUUGCAGCAGGAAUGAAUCCACAGUUCUGUCUGGAGGAGGGCAAACUCAGAAAAAGGACAGGAAAGGAAAGCAGUAGGUCAGAGGGCAAUCUUAUGAUGCAGAGCCCAGAAAAGGAACAAGUUUAAGGACUGAUUUGCAUUGUUCAGCUCUAUUUGGAGAAAGGAUCCUUGUGAAACACUGCAGCUUGCAGUAUAUUGUUACCAUCAAACAUUAAAACGUGAAUAAAUCUCUAAGGGAAAAGAAAUGGUAAUUUAAGCCAUACAGAGCAUUUAUAAUAAAAUGCUUGUAUUUAAAGUAGCAGGUAAAAGAAGCCUUUCUGAAGCAAAUUUAUGUCAGCUCGCCCAAAGAGCACAAUGCAGAGGCAGGAUACCAGCAUCUACCAGAAGCAGAUAGUUGGCUUAUCAGCCCAAAGCACCAGCUCAACCCAAAAAGCACAGCACCCCAACAACAGCAAGUUAUCAGCACAUGGCACAAACUGAUAAACUUUACAUGUGCGUUAACUUCGAGAUAGGACGCUUUGGUAAAAAGCCGCCCAGCUCACGCAAAGUUACUGGGGGAGUCAAGGGGCAGAAGGAGAGAGAAGGAGAUACAAGCACCCUCCCACACCGUACCUGCUUUUGCAUAGCCAAUGACUCCUCCUGAUGCCACCAGAGCGGCAUAGCCAAAGCCGAGCCAGUCCACUGCCAUGCCGAAAACUGGAAAAGAAAUUAGGCACCGGGGAUUCCCAAAAGGGGAAGCAAGAAAAGUGGAAGAAAUCCACAGCUGCUGGAGCUGCUGAACUCACCUGGGGCUCAGACGAGAUGCUGCUGUUUUCUCGCAGCCAUAGCUCUCCAUCUUCUCUAUCAGUGUCACGCACGCUUACCCCUUCUGACAUGGGAAGAGCUUUCUCACCACUGACAUCUCCUCUCGCCCUGCACUGCUGCCUCCCCUCUAUUAUUCUAAGCAGUUCCUGAAAACUACAAAGGAAAAUGGGCUGAAAAUGAAGAUGUUUCCAAAGAAAUAACAACAAAAAUUGCCAAGUACUGGUUAGUAGCUGAGCAUUCACUCAAGGUAUAGAAAAUAGUUUUCCCCUCAGGAUUGUGUCUGUAUUUUACCUUAAAAACUGUUAGGAGUUGUCUUUUGCCUCCAGUUCAUAAAUUGUUCCAAGUCUAUUAAGAUGUAUAAUUAUUUGUUACUACACAGAGAGCGUGGAUUUUUACAAAUGUCUAAUAUUUACUUGUAAGUCUAAACCCUAGAACCGAAAUUCUGUGGAAUGUUUGCUCUUUAAUUCUUACAAUUAUGUGCAGACUGGAUUUUUCCUGGUGCUUAUGACAGCUUGCUUCUGGAGUGGUGAUGUCCAUGGCCAUGAGUUCAUGUAUUUAAAAACGCAAAGAAUAAAAACUGUUUAGUAGUGGCGGCCAUUUUGUCAAGAACAUAAGAUAAGCACUAUAAAACAGAUGUAACACUUUACAAGUGAAAACACUCUAUGCAAUUCUCUUAUUUAAGCUUAUACCUUGUAAGUCCUAUAUUUACUACAGGACCCUUGUUACCAAUUAAAAAUCUGAUUUGUACCUUUCCUGCCAAGUCUACAAAUAAUUUUAAAACCUG